UAGGUGAACCUGCGGAGGGAUCAUUGAAACCGAUCAAACCAUCCCCAGCGAACCAGCGGGCCCCGCCGGCGAGAGCCGGAGGGGGCGCGCCGUCUGCGUCCUGUCCCCGGUGCGCGCUCCGCGCGUACCCCCCGGGCAGGGCACCUUUUUUACACCCCUGAACACCCCUGCCCUGAAGCAGCUUCGCACGGGGACACCCCUGCGACGUAACCGAGACAACUCUCAACAACGGAUAUCUUGGCUCUCGCAACGAUGAAGAACGCAGGGAAAUGCGAUACGUAGUGUGAAUUGCAGAAUUCCGUGAAUCAUCGAAUCUUUGAACGCACAUUGCCGGUCGAGACCCCGGUCGAGACCACACCUGCCUCAGCGUCGGAAUAAACCCUCACUCGCCCCCGCCCGCGGGGGAAAAUGGACCUGGCCCCCCCGGCGCCCCCGUGGCGCCGGGCUGGCUGAAGAGCAGCGGCUCGCGCACGGACCCGUUGGGGCCCCGACUAGGUAGGUAGCUCGCUACUGCUAGCCGGCGGCCGGGCCCGCGGCGCUCUGGGCCCGCAGGAACCCCCACUAUUCAAUCGAC
This 574-nucleotide ribosomal RNA is filed under the name Percursaria percursa. RNAcentral describes it as "eukaryotic LSU rRNA". The stretch from base 218 to 372 matches the Rfam family "5.8S ribosomal RNA". The record is from RNAcentral. Lineage: Eukaryota; Viridiplantae; Chlorophyta; Ulvophyceae; Ulvales; Kornmanniaceae.